AUAAAAGUGACACACAAAAGUAACAUGUGCAAGUAAAACAAACAAAAAAUCAAAUUACAAUUGCCACACAAGCGACCGUAUAUGUGACCAUCAAUCGCUGAAAAGGCACCGGGAUCGUUUUCAUUUAUCAACUUACAUUAACGCAAAUUUACUAUUAAUUUGUAAAAUACACAAUCACAAUCAUAAACGAAUGAAUAAACUAAAACUGCACAAAUAUUACAAAAAAAAAUCACACACAGUGAUACUGUUUACUUCGGCAAAUGCCAUGUAAACAUGUACAUAUGUAUGUGUUUGCGUUACCUUCGCUUGUGAAAUUCUUGAUAAUAAUUAAUAUCUAUUACACAGGAAAGAGUAAGAAACAAAUAAUAAUUCAACGCUAUGGAUUCAUCUAUUCCUAUAAGCACAAGCCUGAAUCUACAUCCAUUACUAGGCCUUGUACAUCAAAUACCCACCUAUGAAGGCCCACCUGACAAUCUUGAAAGAUUUGUAAGUAGAGUAGAACAGCUACUAUUGUUAGCCGGAUCAGUGGACGAAGCAACAUGCAGACAGUACUUGCUUGGAACUAUCCGUGACAAGAUUAAAGGCAGAGCAGACGAAGCACUGAGUGUCUGCCAUGUACUCCUCAGUUGGGAUGAUAUUAAAUAAAAUCUCAAGCGACUAUACUCCAGCAAGAAGACAGAAGAAAUGCUUGUUAGAGAGCUACAUACUCUUCCGGAUGGACUCAGUAUGGGAAGAUUAUAUUUCACAGCCACGAGAAUAAGAAGUGAAUUGAUGUCACUGGCCAGAGAAGCAGACCCUAGUGGACACUCCCUCGCGUCCAAACGGGACCAAUAUGACAUUUCCGCCUAAAUACAUUCCCAGUUGGAUUAAAGGACCCACUUAGAUCGGCCAUUAGAAACCAAAGGCCAGAGACGAUCGAGAAAGCGUACGAGUACGGACAGCUUGAACUAAACUUUUCUAGAAGUCUGAGUAAACAUCCUGGAAACCAUAACACCGACAAACUAAUACAUUAAGAACACACAACACAAAAAUUGUAAAAUUCAAAAUAUCGUCGGAGUUCGUGGCAUACACCAACAACACGUCACCGAGCCAUCCUUCUCCGAUCCGGCCAUUCCCCCCUAUGGUUGACUGUAUGGCCUUCUCUUCGGACUGAGGGGGGGAGGAGUUAACAUGCCCCUCUCUCCGGCCACAUGGAAUAAUGCCGAACCGGAAACUCCAAGCCUACUCUAUGCAACCCCAAGCCUACUCUAUGCAACUCUGACGAUAAUACACUCAUACCUAGAUUCUGACAUACACACACAUGUUCAGGCCUUUUGUAAUAAAUUGCCACUGACGAAAUAGUCAGUCUUAUUCAGUUCUCCAAACAGCACAAUGCUUUUAUUUCUUUCAGAAAUAGCACCGCUAACGAAAUCAUCAUUGAACUCGUGCCAAUUGUGGGAGUCUGAAUACUUGCAAGUAACCACAUAAUACCGGCAAUCGUUGAGCCUGUAUGAUUGCAUAUCGCAUAGAGCGAAUAAUGCACAUUCGAAAGAAUAAAGAAUAAAUCCAAGCAGGCGGCCAGUUUGCAGAGCGAUGACGAUGGCAACGGUAAGUUCAAGUCCCAGAAUGGUUCAAAGAAAUUGAACGUGUCAAUUGAGAAAAUAUGUAUGCGCCAAUGUAAGGUCCAUCACUACGUAAACAGUAAUAUAUUGUGAAUCACAAUUUGUGAUUCAACCAAAUUUCUAAGCGAUGGAGAACUUGGAAUAGUACCUCUAAUGAAAACCUUUGAAAAUUUAUACAAUGGUGAUCCUGAUGAAAUAAUAUCCCAAUGGAACCACCUCCGACUUUCUUUAAAUCAGGGAAAAAAGAUAUUCGUAAAUUUUUGACAGACACUGAAAAUAAAAUAAACGGUAAUUCAUAAACAACUUGAUUUCGCAGGUCACAAUAAGCUUAGUUCUCUGUCGAAGGAUUUGUUCCCCGUUUGCAAAAGGCCUAUUUCUACAAAAAUGGUUUGAGUCAUCUGGAAUUGCCGCACUUGCCAAAUCUUAGAUACUGAGUUCAACAAUUGUCCACGUUUGGAGCAUCUCGACCUCAACGGUAAUCAACUCACUGAGUUUCAGAUUACACCACCUCCAGAAGGUUUUAACUCAUCGACUACGAAGCAAUUUCCAUUGCGAUUAUUGGAUCUCGCAUACAACAAGAUAAGUGUGCUUCGCGAAAACCAUUUCGAAUUCCUAGGAGAACUUGAAAUACUGGAUUUAUCUGGCAAUAAAUUCACCACCCUGAAGAGUGCUCA
Molecule: long non-coding RNA, 2275 nt
Organism: Drosophila sulfurigaster albostrigata
Lineage: Eukaryota; Metazoa; Arthropoda; Insecta; Diptera; Drosophilidae
Exons: 5
Source: RefSeq, a predicted model, not a curated record